AGGCAGCAGUGGGGAAUAUUGCACAAUGGGCGCAAGCCUGAUGCAGCCAUGCCGCGUGUAUGAAGAAGGCCUUCGGGUUGUAAAGUACUUUCAGCAGUGAGGAAGGUGGAUAUGUUAAUAGCAUAUUCAUUUGACGUUAGCUGCAGAAGAAGCACCGGCUAACUCCGUGCCAGCAGCCGCGGUAAUACGGAGGGUGCGAGCGUUAAUCGGAAUUACUGGGCGUAAAGCGCAUGCAGGUGGUUUGUUAAGUCAGAUGUGAAGCCCGGGGCUCAACCUCGGAAUUGCAUUUGAAACUGGCAAACUAGAGUACUGUAGAGGGGGUAGAAUUUCAGGUGUAGCGGUGAAAUGCGUAGAGAUCUGAAGGAAUACCGGUGGCGAAGGCGGCCCCCUGGACAGAUACUGACACUCAGAUGCGAAAGCGUGGGGAGCAAACAGGAUUAGAUACCCUGGUAG
This 453-nucleotide ribosomal RNA is filed under the name uncultured bacterium. Its description in RNAcentral is "bacterial SSU rRNA". It matches the Rfam family "Bacterial small subunit ribosomal RNA", at positions 346 to 793 of the family's 1533-position model. The record is from RNAcentral.